RNAcentral lists this ribosomal RNA (253 nucleotides) under uncultured bacterium. RNAcentral describes it as "partial 16S ribosomal RNA". It matches the Rfam family "Bacterial small subunit ribosomal RNA", at positions 524 to 776 of the family's 1533-position model. The record is from RNAcentral.
UACGUAGGGUGCAAGCGUUGUCCGGAAUUAUUGGGCGUAAAGAGCUCGUAGGCGGCCUGUCGCGUCGGUUGUGAAAGCCCGGGGCUUAACCCCGGGUCUGCAGUCGAUACGGGCAGGCUAGAGUUCGGUAGGGGAGAUCGGAAUUCCUGGUGUAGCGGUGAAAUGCGCAGAUAUCAGGAGGAACACCGGUGGCGAAGGCGGAUCUCUGGGCCGAUACUGACGCUGAGGAGCGAAAGCGUGGGGAGCGAACAGG